AGACGUCUACAUUAGAUACCCGGGUAGUCCCAGCCGUAAACUAUGCGCGUUAGGUGUAUCGGUGACCACGAGUCACCGAGGUGCCGAAGGGAAACCGUGAAACGUGCCGCCUGGGAAGUACGGUCGCAAGGCUGAAACUUAAAGGAAUUGGCGGGGAGCACCACAACAGGUGGAGCCUGCGGUUUAAUUGGACUCAACGCCGGGAAGCUCACCGGAUAAGACAGCGGAAUGAUUGCCGGGCUGAAGACUCUGCAUGACUAGCUG
This 264-nucleotide ribosomal RNA is filed under the name uncultured archaeon. RNAcentral describes it as "partial 16S ribosomal RNA". It matches the Rfam family "Archaeal small subunit ribosomal RNA", at positions 717 to 982 of the family's 1478-position model. The record is from RNAcentral.